This 246-nucleotide unclassified non-coding RNA is filed under the name Ascomycota sp. Its description in RNAcentral is "partial contains small subunit ribosomal RNA, internal transcribed spacer 1, and 5.8S ribosomal RNA". The stretch from base 1 to 47 matches the Rfam family "Eukaryotic small subunit ribosomal RNA", at positions 1785 to 1831 of the family's 1831-position model. The record is from RNAcentral. Lineage: Eukaryota; Fungi; Ascomycota.
AAAGUCGUAACAAGGUUUCCGUAGGUGAACCUGCGGAAGGAUCAUUAUAGUAUAUGGAAUACCCAUUCUAUAAACCCACUCUGUGUAUCUUGUACUGUUGCUUCCAUGGGACUUGGUCCUGCCACACCGGCUUCACGGCUGGUGAGCGCCCAUGGGAGGAGAAACAAAACUCUUCUUUGAACUGUAGUCAGUCUGAACUUGUUUUUAUAAACGUUAAAACUUUCAACAACGGAUCUCUUGGUUCUC